AGAACGAACGCUGGCGGCAGGCCUAAUACAUGCAAGUCGAACGCACUCUUCGGAGUGAGUGGCAGACGGGUGAGUAACGCGUGGGAACCUUCCCAAUGGUACGGAAUAACUCCGGGAAACCGGUGCUAAUACCGUAUAAGCCCCUCGGGGGAAAGAUUUAUCGCCAUUGGAUGGGCCCGCGUCGGAUUAGCUAGUUGGUAAGGUAAUGGCUUACCAAGGCUACGAUCCGUAGCUGGUCUGAGAGGAUGAUCAGCCACACUGGGACUGAGACACGGCCCAGACUCCUACGGGAGGCAGCAGUAGGGAAUCUUGGACAAUGGGCGAAAGCCUGAUCCAGCCAUGCCGCGUGAGUGAAGAAGGCCUUAGGGUUGUAAAGCUCGUUUUGGCGGGGACGAUAAUGACGGUACCGCAGAAUAAGCCCGGCUAACUUCGUGCCAGCAGCCGC
This 445-nucleotide ribosomal RNA is filed under the name uncultured bacterium. Its description in RNAcentral is "SSU rRNA". It matches the Rfam family "Bacterial small subunit ribosomal RNA", at positions 26 to 518 of the family's 1533-position model. The record is from RNAcentral.